GAUGAACGCUAGCGGCAGGCUUAACACAUGCAAGUCGAGGGGUAUAGUAGCAAUACUAGAGACCGGCGCACGGGUGCGUAACGCGUAUGCAAUCUACCUUUCACAGAGGGAUAGCCCAGAGAAAUUUGGAUUAAUACCUCAUAGUAUAGUGUCUUGGCAUCAAGGAACUAUUAAAGUCACAACGGUGAAAGAUGAGCAUGCGUCCCAUUAGUUAGUUGGUAAGGUAACGGCUUACCAAGACUACGAUGGGUAGGGGUCCUGAGAGGGAGAUCCCCCACACUGGUACUGAGACACGGACCAGACUCCUACGGGAGGCAGCAGUGAGGAAUAUUGGACAAUGGGCGCAAGCCUGAUCCAGCCAUGCCGCGUGCAGGAUGACGGUCCUAUGGAUUGUAAACUGCUUUUGUACAGGAAGAAACACCCCGACGUGUCGGGACUUGACGGUACUGUAAGAAUAAGGAUCGGCUAACUCCGUGCCAGCAGCCGCCGCAG
Molecule: ribosomal RNA, 492 nt
Filed under: uncultured bacterium
Lineage: Bacteria
Description: partial 16S ribosomal RNA
Rfam family: Bacterial small subunit ribosomal RNA
Source: RNAcentral